Molecule: long non-coding RNA, 2082 nt
Filed under: Salmo salar (Atlantic salmon)
Lineage: Eukaryota; Metazoa; Chordata; Actinopteri; Salmoniformes; Salmonidae
Description: lncRNA (ENSSSAG00000079440.2)
Source: RNAcentral
GAAAAAUAAAUGGCUAGACCUGAAAAUGGCUGUCUAGCUAUGAUCAACAACCAACUUGACAGAUGCUUGAAGGAUUUUUUAAAAGAAUAAUGUGGAAAUAUUGUGCAAUCCAGGUGGGAAAAUCUCUUAGAGACUUACCCAAAAAGACAAACGGCUCUAAUUGCUGCCAAAGAGGCAAACCUAGUGUGCAUCCAUGGUGGGUGUCUUUUAGAACCCCUUACUAGUGGCUUUGCCAAAUUCGGUGGACACAUGGUGGGCACCCACAAGCAUCGCUACCUAUCGCUCCACCAAAGCCACAGUCCUUGCAGAGCAAGGGAAACAACUACUUCAAGAUCUCAGAGACUUUUUGAACUCCCGUCAUGCUUUAUAAAAAGCAUCCAAAGCUCUUUCCAGAGGUCUUUCCAAGCUUCAGCUCGUCCAUCACUGGGAGUGAGCUCAAUUAUGGCGCUCGCUCCCCACUGUGGUCAAUAACCUUGAUAACAAGACAGCGCAGAACCAGAUGUGCAUGAAGAUAUCAGGGCACCUUCAUCCUUCAAGAAAAGAGAGCAAUAAGGAUUGUGAGAAAAAAAAAGGGUCCUCAGAGAGAAGCGGGAAUAUCAGCAGGAACCCAAAACAGGAGGAUCACUAACAUAUGAGAGAGUUAGAGAGGGAGAGAGAGAGAGAGAGCCUGUAAGAUGUGCGUGACUUGCUGCAGAGAAGUCAGGCGCAGGAGAGCAGAACUGGGUAAUAACCGGAGCAGUUUAAUAGGCAAACACUAUACAAACACUAUACAACAAAACAUUUCACACACAGACAAAGGGGGAACAGAGGGUUAUAUACACGACAAGUAGUGAGGGAAUGUAAACCAGGUGUGUGGGAAAACAAGACAGAACAAAUGGAAAAUGAAAGGUGGAUCGGCGAUGGCGGGAAGACCGGUGACAUCGACCGGCGAACGCCACCCGAACAAGGAGAAGAACCGACUUCGGCGGAAGUCGUGACAGAGCCAGUAUGCCCCACUACCAGUCUGUAGUCAUGUAGUUUAUACACAUAUUGAGUGUGAGGUAGGCCGUCACGUGGAUAUAGCAGUGAGGAAGCUAUGUUUUUCUGUCUAGGGUGAGGGCUUUUAUUUGCAAAGUGGAUAUAAAUAGGUUCCAAAAGUGCUUACAGUAUGUACAAAAUAAUAAACAGGAUGAAGAGCAACAUACUGUAAGUCAGAACACAGAUGACCUACCCAAAAAGACUCAAUAAUGCCUGAUAGAAUUUAGCAUGCGCAGCAGCAGAGCCCAAUGUUAUAGUCAUUAUAUAGCCUACCUUGUGAGCUUGUGUGUUCCUUUGACUCACCAUAUUGUUAUCCUGACGGGCCACCGUACUUUGGAUAAACAGUGUUGUUAUGCUAGCUCACGUACCUGAGGAUGUUAGAGUUGUAGUAAUAAACCAGAGCCGUUUAUAAAGAACAAACCCACUGGGCAAAGACGUCAAUCCAACGUCUAUUCCACCUUGGUUCAACGUAAUUUCAUUGAAAUUAUGUGGAAACCAUGUUGAUUGAUCCAGUGUGUGCCCAGUGGGAAGUCUCGUUCUUUCAACACAACAUUGGCUACUAGGAUGGCUGUUCCUGCAACCGUCAUCCCCACCAUCUGUCUGCCUCCGGACCUGUUUCUACCUCUCCGAAGAUAUCCUUUCAUUCCCUGGGAGCAAUGGAAAGGCUAGUUUGAAACAUACCUUCUAACUAUAGGACUGGAUACUGUUGCUGGCGCCAGGAAACGUGCUAUCCUCCUGCAUUGCCUCGGAGAGGAGCAUUUCAAAACAUAUAUAUACUGAGACGGCUUCUGUUCAAACAACUACAUCAGCGAGCUGGGGAGUCAGCUAGCCAUGUUGUAACUGAUUUGAGGCCGCUAGCACAGGCAUGUAAUUUUGGAGCAAUACAAGACAAACUAAUAGGAGAUCAACUGAUUGAAAAAACGUCCAACCCCCGGGUACCAGUGGCGGAAAAAUUACUCAGUUGUCAUACUUGAGUAAAAGUAUAGACAGCUUAAUGGAAAGUUACUCAAGUAAAAGUGAUAGUCACCCGGACCUGGCCUGAUGACUCCAGGUAGUGCUGCUGCU